AGCAGUACCACGGGAAUACGAGGGGGGCAAGCGUUGUUCGGAAUUAUUGGGCGUAAAGGGCGCGUAGGCGGUCUGGCAAGUUUGGUGUGAAAUCUUCGGGCUCAACUCGAAGUCUGCAUCGAAAACUGCCGGGCUUGAGUAUGGGAGAGGUGAGUGGAAUUUCCGGUGUAGCGGUGAAAUGCGUAGAUAUCGGAAGGAACACCUGUGGCGAAAGCGGCUCACUGGACCAUAACUGACGCUGAGGCGCGAAAGCUAGGGGAGCAAACAGGAUUAGAGACCCCAGUAGUCCCUGUCUCUUAUACA
This 303-nucleotide ribosomal RNA is filed under the name uncultured bacterium. RNAcentral describes it as "partial 16S ribosomal RNA". It matches the Rfam family "Bacterial small subunit ribosomal RNA", at positions 507 to 808 of the family's 1533-position model. The record is from RNAcentral.